CCUACGGGAGGCAGCAGUGAGGAAUAUUGGUCAAUGGGCGGGAGCCUGAACCAGCCAAGUCGCGUGAGGGAAGACGGUCCUAUGGAUUGUAAACCUCUUUAGGCGGGGAGCAAUGCCGGGCACGCGUGCCCGGAGGGAGAGUACCCGCAGAAUAAGCAUCGGAUAACUCCGUGCCAGCAGCCGCGGUAAUACGGAGGAUGCGAGCGUUAUCCGGAUUUAUUGGGUUUAAAGGGUGCGUAGGCGGAUUUUUAAGUCAGCGGUAAAAUGUCCGGGCUCAACCCGGGCCGGCCGUUGAAACUGGUGAUCUUGAGUGGGCGAGAAGUAUGCGGAAUGCGUGGUGUCGCGGUGAAAUGCAUAGAUAUCACGCAGAACUCCGAUUGCGAAGGCGGCAUACCGGCGCCCGACUGACGCUGAGGCACGAAAGCGUGGGGAUCGAACAGGAUUAGAUACCCCAGUAGUC
Molecule: ribosomal RNA, 460 nt
Filed under: uncultured bacterium
Lineage: Bacteria
Description: partial 16S ribosomal RNA
Rfam family: Bacterial small subunit ribosomal RNA
Source: RNAcentral